RNAcentral lists this unclassified non-coding RNA (416 nucleotides) under Hevea brasiliensis (rubber tree). The record is from RNAcentral. Lineage: Eukaryota; Viridiplantae; Streptophyta; Magnoliopsida; Malpighiales; Euphorbiaceae.
GGAAAAAAAUUGUAUUUUCUGUGGCAUUUUGUUGGAUAUUUUUUUUUUUUAAUAUUUUAGUGCUUCAGUGUUGAUGAUGUGGACAAUUAGACUUAUUCAAUGAGCAUAUAAGAAAACUCAUCAAAUUGUUUCAGAGCAACGCCUGUAACUUUUAAUUGAACAUGAAGAUUUUGUCACAAAUGUUGUAGGCAUCUAACACCAAUUUUUGGAUGUGUUGAUUUUCUGAGAAUCUGUCUACAUCACCUCUAGCAAAUGCUUUAAGCUAUACAUAAUUAGUUUCCGUUCUCAAAUUUUUUUGGGGGCCAUCAUAUUAAAUCAUUUGAGUUGUCCUUUUCAUGUCAUCUAUUUAUGACAUACAGAUUUGAAGCAUUUUUAACUUGUUUUGCUGAUUAACAGGUAGUUUACAUGGCAAUUGU